This 201-nucleotide long non-coding RNA is filed under the name Elaeis guineensis (African oil palm). Its description in RNAcentral is "long non-coding RNA (EGUI_LNC020863)". The record is from RNAcentral. Lineage: Eukaryota; Viridiplantae; Streptophyta; Magnoliopsida; Arecales; Arecaceae.
CCCUUUUCCCCUAUCAUAGUCUUUUAUCAGUCUAUUUCUGAAAAGCUCUUCAGCAGAAAAGAUGCUAGAAGUUUAUUAUUGUACUACAUAAAUCUCACUAUAUUAUUUAAGAUGCAAAAAAAAUGUUUCAAGUUGAACUACGGUAGGUCAAAUUGUAGUAGCUGAAGAGGCAUAUAUGUUGCACCCAUAAUAGCCGAAGUU